ACAAGCAGCUAUAUCACCCUGCAACCCACUGAAGUUAAGCAGGUGUAAGUCUGGCCAGUACCUGGAUGGGAGACCUCCUGGGAAAGCUAAGAUUGCUGCUGGAA
RNAcentral lists this ribosomal RNA (104 nucleotides) under Lepisosteus oculatus (spotted gar). Lineage: Eukaryota; Metazoa; Chordata; Actinopteri; Semionotiformes; Lepisosteidae. The record is from RNAcentral.